Molecule: small nuclear RNA, 161 nt
Organism: Octodon degus (degu)
Lineage: Eukaryota; Metazoa; Chordata; Mammalia; Rodentia; Octodontidae
Gene: U1
Rfam family: U1 spliceosomal RNA
About the family: U1 is a small nuclear RNA (snRNA) component of the spliceosome (involved in pre-mRNA splicing). Its 5' end forms complementary base pairs with the 5' splice junction, thus defining the 5' donor site of an intron.
Source: Ensembl
GUACUCUCCUGGCGGGGGGACACCUUCAUCACCAAGGUGGUUUUCGCAGGGCGGGGCUGGCCCAUUGCACUACGGAUGUGCUGACCCCUGCGACUUCCUCAAAUGGGGGAAACCCGACGGAAUAAUUUGUGGGAGUGGGUGACUGCACUGGCGUUCACCCC